Molecule: non-coding RNA, 6172 nt
Organism: Podarcis lilfordi (Lilford's wall lizard)
Lineage: Eukaryota; Metazoa; Chordata; Lepidosauria; Squamata; Lacertidae
Source: the annotation of a GenBank genome assembly
GGUGCUAAGCGGUAACAUUCCAUAGUAUGCAUGCAAUUCCAUGAUAAACUAUCAUUUGUCAUCUGUAUUGUCCUGCCAAGUAGUAAGGGUGUUCUUAUUCUUGCUAGUAGUGAGGUUUUUUCCACUGUUUGGCAUGCAAGUAAUUUUAAUCACAACAUAUUAAGUUACUACUUAGCAAAUUGUCACCCAUAUUCAAUCUACAGCAGGUGACUACCACUAAUGACAGAUUCAUGACUUGGAACAUCCAAUCUAAUACCCCAAGAGAAAAAUGCAAGUCAGCCUUCAUACGGACUUUUGAUAGGCCAUGGCAAAGACUGUCAAAUCAAGAAACAGCACAUUUAGAUACAUGAUGGUCUGCCAUGUUUAGAAAUCAAAGCCAGUGGAUAUGGGCCCUUUGGCACGUCAGUAAAGCAGAUGAGGGCAAGGAUGCAAUCGGGGCUGUAUGAUAGAGGGAGGAAGCAGAACAAAAAGAAGAGCUUUGAGAAGAAGCAAUAAGGUGGCUUGUCUAAUUAGUAUGGAGAAAGCUUGAGAAUAACAUAUGUUCCCCAUUCCAUUCCUUAAUUAUUCUGUGAAACAUUCUGUACUGUGUUCUAUGCGUUCUGAAUUCUAGUUUAAUUAAGAUGUUCUAAUGUUAGUUCUGGAGUUCGGUCAUGAGCUGCUAGACAUUGCCUUCCAUUUCUUCAGUUCAUUUGCAUCUUUUCCCCUUCUGCAUUACCAAUGCAAAUGUGUGCAUUGAUAAAACACCUGGGAGGAAAAGCAAUCUCCAUGUGUAUAAUUCCAUCAAGAUUAUAUUUUGUUCGAUGUUCUACUGAAGUGCAUGUCUGCUACUGCUCAUUGGUGAAAUGUCACACACAUAUCUUGAUAAAGCCUUACGUGCAAUUACACAAGGAUUGCUCAUUGGCAGUAUUUAAUCAAUGCACAUAUGCACAUAUUUAAUUUAGGAGGGCUAAGGAAAGACAUGAAGGGACAGAAAAAGCUGGUAAACUCUGCAUGCAGUAUGCCUUGUACAAGUGUGUAUGUUUUGUUUAAUGGAAGCUGCUCAGUGCAAUGGCUUUAUGAAAUAUGAUAAGGGAAUUUGGAAACUGCAAAAUCUAGGGGGGGAAAUUAGAUGAGGAAUAUUUUAGAAGCAUACAUAGAGAAAAGACAUUGACCUGUUAAUUCCAAAAUGUAUCUAUCCAUCAGCCUAAUGACAAUCAAUGCUUUAUGCAAUUGACAGAGAUCACAAGUUGAAAAACAACUAUGUCAUGACACUCUAGUAGCUUUCAUUUAUCAUACAAUGGAGCUGCAACACAGAAGCAAGAUUCAGAAUAUUCUUGACAGGUUGGUACACUGAGCUGAAACCAACAAGAUGAAAUUCAACAGAAAUAAGUAUAAAGUCCUCCAUUAAGGUACCAACAAUCAAAGGCACUGGAUGGGAGAUAUCUGGCUUGACAGCAGGACAUAUGAAAAGGAUGUAGGUGUCUUAGUUGAUCAUAAAUUGAGCAUGAGCCAGCAGUGCAAUGCAGUUGCUAAAGAAGUCAAUGCAAUCUCAGAAUGCAUUAACAGGAACACAGUCUCCAGACCAUCAGAAGUAAAAGUUCCAGUUUAUUCUGCACUGGUCAGAUUGCCUCUAGAGCAGAAGUUCCCAGUUGAUGGUCCAUGAACCCCAGGAGUUCCUCGUAACCCACUCAGGGGAUCCAAGGCAUCAUUCACAUAACCAAAACUACCAUAGAAAUAUCAGCAAUUCUAAAAGUAGGUGGUCCAUAGCUUUGCUUUUGCAAAACAGAUGGUCUACAGUAUUUAGAACCACUGUUCUAGAAUAUUGUGAUGUAUUCUAGGUACCACAUUUUAACAAAGACACUGACCAACUGGAGGGCAACCAGGAUUGUGAGAUGUGUGGAAACCAAGUCCUGUAAGGCACAUAGUUAGAAGAACUGGGUAUGUUUUACCUGGAGAAGAGAGGUUAACGAAAGACAAGACAGUAGUCUUCACAUAUACUAAAAAGGUUGUCAUGUAGAAGAUGGAGCAGAAAAAAUGUUUGGAUAAUUGAAAGGGUGCAGUUUUGAGGUAACCAUAGGGAGAAUUUGCCUAACAAUAGAACUGAUUGCUUCAGAAAGUGGUGGGCCUUCCUUUCCUGGAGAUAUUCAAGCAGAGGCUAGUCCAUCAUUUGUCAAGGGUAGUGUAGUUGCAUCCUGACUUGCAGAACCUGUAUGGGGCAGGGGCUGGACUAGAUGACCUACAAGAUCUUUUCCAACUCUAUAUUUUAUUAUUGGCCAUAAAUUUCACAACACAUGGCCAAUUACUCAUACAAAUGGGCAACGAGAUUUACCAAAAAUGCAAGUCAUACAGACCAGCUAAGUAAAGCAAUGUAGGCUUCCAGCACAAAUACCUAUAGCUGUGGAAUGACUGUCUUUCUCUGUCUGUGAAUCUCUCCAGUAUUAUUUUGAUCCUAGCCACUACAGAGAUUCACUGAUGCUUAACACAUAGCAAUAAAAUUUGAAUGCAUGUUUUACGCUUUUAUUUAUUCAUUCAUUUGUUUAAAAUGAAUUACUACAUACAAAACUACAGUUUCAUUAUUAUUGGAGGAGGGUUUCUCAAAAAAAAGUGGAACUGCAAACAAUUACCAUCCAGAGCAUAUAUCAUACAUUUUGCAUGUUAUAAAUUACAGGAGAAAUAGCAGACUUACAGUAAAGAAGUAAAUACCACGGAGCUUACUUCCUAGUAAAUAUAUUUAGGAUUGCAAUCUCACAGGAAUUAAAUAUCUGAAUUUACUAUUUCUCUAUUUAGACAGCACUCAUUUGCAUAAUUGGAUGGGUACUUUUGUGCUUAGUUUGGUUGCCUGCAGGCUAGCUGGCUUAUUAUGAAGAAAGGUGCCACUAAUUUGUUUAUUAAUUUCCAAUUAAAUUUUGUAUUGUGUGCAUGGUGAUUCUCUACUGAGUUGUAAACUGAGUUGUUUUUUUGUCUAAGUUAUGUUGUGUUCAUAACAGCACUCGUGCAAUUAGCAGAACUAUUACCACUGCAGUAAUUAGGAUACUGUUCUGAAGAUUGGUAUAAAAUAAAAUUUAUUUUGUUUAGAUGUGAGUACAGUUGGGUAUAAUAAUCCCAUAUUCUUCCCAUGAUACCCAUCACUAUACAUUGCAUAUUCUGUAAUAGUAUUUUUCAAGUGUCUUUUAUGACCAUGCAAGGUAGAACAUGGAGGGUGGGAGUAGAGAACACACAAAUUCUUUAGAAUGGAGAGGUUUGCACAUAUAGGAUACAGAAUACAGUAUGUGCGUGUGUGUGCAGUGCCAGAUUUAGGGAAAUGAAGGUGGUUCCCCUGAACUGGGCGCAGAGCUGAGGGGGCACAAAAUAACUACCACUGCUACUACAACAAUAAUAACAGCAGCAACAACUGUAUUUAUCUGGCUACCUACUGAGAAAAUCCAUAAAAGUAACUAUACCCAAAUAAAUUAUUGUGAAAAUAAGAAAUAAUUUGGGGGGGGGGGGACCAAAUUUUGUCUUCGUUCAUGGGGUCAGUUUACCAAAGUCUGCCCUUGAUGUGGGUGUGAACUACUAUUCCUUCCCCACACAUUACUUAUAUUAUGUACCCUCCAAUAUGCUGGGCAUUGAAAAAAUUCACCUCAUAACCAGAAAUAAUUAAAAAUCAGGAAUGGGAAACAAGCAGGAAAAAAGAAAAGGGAUGAUGAGAAUAAUUAAUUAUCACACACACACCUAAGAGUUGUGCCAAAAACGAUUCUGGCAAUGAAAGCCUUUGGAUUUAUGUCCAUAUGGAAGAUAUUAAUGGACUCCUACCACACUCUGGAAGCAAUUUCGGAUUGAUACUGAUUGGUAAUUUUUAAUGUACUACAAUUUCAAAAUGUCAUUCAGGGGAAGAAGAGAUGUGUGAUAAAUUUAUUCUGUGAACUGCCCAGAGACCUGCGGGUAUAGGACAGUAUAUAAAUAAAAUAAAAUAAAAUAAAAUAAAAGUUCUGAUAUGAAUCCUCAUUAGGGCAAAAACAAGGGAUACAAAACCUACUCUUCAGCCUGUAUUAAAACAACAUAUAUAAUUUUGCAGUGUCAUUUCCUGGAAUUAUUGUAAAGCAGGGUUAGUUUUGGUGGAUUUUUCCAUUUUUUACAUGAAUUUUAUAUCAGUGCAAUUCCUUUGAUUUUAAUAGAAAAUGUGUUUUUUUAGCUUUUAGUUUAAUGGAGAAAUGGAUUUUCUAUUUACAUAAUGUAAAAUAGCCCUUAAACGUCAUUAUGGUUAGAUAUGCAAACUAUUGUUUUCAAAAACAGUUGUAUCAUUUGUAUUAUGAAGGUUUUGGGGGCCUAUUAUUUGGUUCAGCCCUCUUUUCCUCUAGAGUUUUAAGAAUGACACUACAAGAAGCUGUAAUCUGGAUCAUUUCUGAAUACCAGUUACCAGGAAUCCCAAGUUGCUAGGAGAGUGCUGUUGCUCUUGCAGAUUUCCCACAGCCAUUUGCUUGACCAUUGGGAGAACAGUAUGCCAAGAAAAAGAUUCCCAUUGGAUAUACCCAUAUACUGUCCACACAUUGCCUAUUUGGUGUUGAAAAGGAACUUCCUCUCAAGAAAGACUGACCAGCUAAUACACCAGCUAAUGAAAUACACUUACUGUCUGGAUGACAGCCAUUGUAGUACAAUUUAAAAUAUAAUGUUGGCAUUGUUGAAAUUAUAUGUUAUUAUUUGUAUUGUUGCAUUAUGUUUUGAAAUGAAUCAGUGGUACUAGAAGAAGAAGAAGAAGAAGAAGAAGAGGAGGAGUUUGGAUUUGAUAUCCCGCCUUUCACUCCCCUUCAGGAGUCUCAAAGCGGCUAACAUUCUCCUUUCCCUUCCUCCCCCACAACAAACACUCUGUGAGGUGAGUGGGGCUGAGAGACUUCAGAGAAGUGUGACUGGCCCAAGGUCACCCAGCAGCUGCAUGUGGAGGAGCGGAGACGCGAACCCGGUUCCCCAGAUUACGAGACUACCGCUCUUAACCACUACACCACACUGGCUCUCUAGGACCUGGGAGACCAAUAAAAAAGAGAGAGGAACAAACCAACAGCAGAUAAUCACAGCCUAAAAUAGUCUUAAGGUAAAAUGUUGCAAUUUAAAAGGUCUGUGAGGAAACCUAUUUGCCAGGUAUCAAAACUACAUUAAAGUAGGCACCAGGCAAGCCUUCCUAAGGAGGACAUUCCACAAGUAAGGAGCCACUCCUGAAAGAAACAGGAGUUGCAAUCCAGUUAUGCAAAUGUGAAGCAGCCAGUCCCGUAAAAUAAGCUUCAAUUAUGCCUCCUCUUCGUCUACUUUGGCAAUCACUCGUAGCCGAGUAAGAUUGUCUUCCAUGAACACGGUCUGAACAGUGAGUCUGUAAGUAGCUGUGGAAGCCAAUUUUGGAUCAACACGUCCUUCCACAGCGGGGAAAUAGGUUUCCAGGCAGAGUGGAUCACGGUGAGGGUUUGCCAAACAUGCCUUCCUCUUAGCACGUUUCUACUUUUCUUCCUGAGUUUGAGCUUCUUCAAAGUCCGUGACACCUUUGGUAAAGGCUGUUCUCCAAUUGGGGCGCUCUCAGGCCUGUUGUCAGGGAUGAUCCUCCACAGGGAGAAUUGUCAGGGAGGCUUCAGGAAGGAGCUUCUGUUGCUUAUUUAGACAAGAUGACUGGUCAAUUGCAACUUGUAUUUUGCAGGCCAGGACCUCACACAUGCAGCUCAACUUGCCAGACCAAUCUGAAGAAUCAUGUAUGUAGCACCCAUUUUCUCAUUCAGUUAGGAAUAUGCGCAAGGUGCUUUCUGGAUCCUGCUUCUUUCUACAUGUGACAUCUACUUGUGUUGAUAAAAAUAUAUUUGGUUAUGUCUGUAAGGCUGCAAGGAAAACUGGUGUGGCAACACUCACAAAAACAUUGUGUCCUAUCAGAAGAUGGGGCCAAGCAUUCUGCAUGAGUCACAUUCUGACAGUUUUGGAGAAAGGGCCAUCCAUGAAACCAGCUUUAACCAGAAUAAGAUUUCCCCUUGAUAAGCCUCAUCAGCCAACUAGAUUGUGUUAGGACCAUUUAUAGCUCAGAGCCUGCAGCUUUAACAACAGCACACUGAUUAAUUGUUGAUGUGAGUUACGCAACUACUUGAGGGUGGUUGUAAAGCUAAUUGGGAAAUUUAGAGUCAUCAUAAUUUUCCAUCAGAUCAUUGUAAAAAUAGAUAGGAAUUUAUAUUACAUUUAAAUUAAGGUU